Molecule: ribosomal RNA, 476 nt
Filed under: uncultured organism
Description: partial 16S ribosomal RNA
Rfam family: Bacterial small subunit ribosomal RNA
Source: RNAcentral
CGUACACUCCUACGGGAGGCAGCAGUGGGGAAUAUUGCACAAUGGGCGCAAGCCUGAUGCAGCCAUGCCGCGUGUAUGAAGAAGGCCUUCGGGUUGUAAAGUACUUUCAGCGGGGAGGAAGGCAAUACGGUUAAUAACCGUGUUGAUUGACGUUACCCGCAGAAGAAGCACCGGCUAACUCCGUGCCAGCAGCCGCGGUAAUACGGAGGGUGCAAGCGUUAAUCGGAAUUACUGGGCGUAAAGCGCACGCAGGCGGUCUGUCAAGUCGGAUGUGGAAUCCCCGGGCUCAACCUGGGAACUGCAUUCGAAACUGGCAGGCUUGAGUCUUGUAGAGGGGGGUAGAAUUCCAGGUGUAGCGGUGAAAUGCGUAGAGAUCUGGAGGAAUACCGGUGGCGAAGGCGGCCCCCUGGACAAAGACUGACGCUCAGGUGCGAAAGCGUGGGGAGCAAACAGGAUUAGAAACCCUUGUAGUCCCA